Molecule: ribosomal RNA, 428 nt
Filed under: uncultured Chlamydiae bacterium
Lineage: Bacteria; Pseudomonadati; Chlamydiota; Chlamydiia
Description: bacterial SSU rRNA
Rfam family: Bacterial small subunit ribosomal RNA
Source: RNAcentral
AACGCGAAGAACCUUACCUGGGCUCGAAAUGUAGAGGACGUUAUCAGAGAUGAUAACUCUCGAAAGGGUCUUUACAUAGGUGCUGCAUGGCUGUCGUCAGCUCGUGCCGUGAGGUGUUUGGUUAAGUCCAGCAACGAGCGCAACCCUUAUCGUUAGUUGCCAGCGCGUAAUGGCGGGAACUCUAACGAGACUGCCUGGGUUAACCAGGAGGAAGGUGAGGAUGACGUCAAGUCCGCAUGGCCUUUAUGUCCAGGGCAACACACGUGCUACAAUGGUCGGUACAGAAGGCAGCGAAACCGCGAGGUGAAGCAAAUCCUAUAAAACCGAUCUCAGUUCAGAUUGUAGUCUGCAACUCGACUACAUGAAGUUGGAAUUGCUAGUAAUGGCGUGUCAGCUACAACGCCGUGAAUACGUUCCCGGGCCUUGUA